AUACGGAGGGUGCAAGCGUUACUCGGAAUCACUGGGCGUAAAGCGCGCGCAGGCGGUCUUUUAAGUUGGAUGUGAAAGCCUACGGCUCAACCGUAGAACUGCAUCCAAAACUAUUAGACUAGAGUGUGGGAGAGGAAGAUGGAAUUAGUUGUGUAGGGGUAAAAUCCGUAGAGAUAACUAGGAAUACCAAAAGCGAAGGCAAUCUUCCGGAACACUACUGACGCUGAGGCGCGAAAGCGUGGGGAGCAAACAGGAUUAGAAACCCUAGUAGUCC
This 274-nucleotide ribosomal RNA is filed under the name uncultured bacterium. RNAcentral's name for it is "partial 16S ribosomal RNA". It matches the Rfam family "Bacterial small subunit ribosomal RNA", at positions 523 to 796 of the family's 1533-position model. The record is from RNAcentral.